This 415-nucleotide unclassified non-coding RNA is filed under the name Melitaea cinxia (Glanville fritillary). RNAcentral describes it as "misc RNA ENSMCXG00005001083.1". The record is from RNAcentral. Lineage: Eukaryota; Metazoa; Arthropoda; Insecta; Lepidoptera; Nymphalidae.
CUCGAAAAGUAGUUGUUAGAUCUCAAAUAAAUUUAAAUGGGACCAAUUGGCACACACCACCUUUCGAUUAAAAAAAAAAAAUACAGUCGAAUUGAGAACCUCCUCCUUUUUUGGAAGUCGGUUAAAAAUGUGUGUACACUCAUUUGAGUGAUAAUCGAAACUAUAAUGCUGGAGCGAAAACAUAGAGUCACUGCCGUGUUAAUUAAUGUGGUCAUUUACAAAAUACAAAAAAUAUAUUCACUAAAAUAAUUCUAAUGCGACGUUUAGUAUCAGACGUUAGUAGUUAUUAUUUUAUUUGAAAUCCUUAAACUGUGGUUAAAAUAAAAAAAUAUAAAACACGAAGAACACACACAGAGAGAGAGAGAGAGAGAAAGAAAGAGAAAGAGAGAGAAAAAGAAAGAGAGAUAAAGAGAGA